This 562-nucleotide unclassified non-coding RNA is filed under the name Hevea brasiliensis (rubber tree). Lineage: Eukaryota; Viridiplantae; Streptophyta; Magnoliopsida; Malpighiales; Euphorbiaceae. The record is from RNAcentral.
CAUCAUCAUCAUCAGCGGCAGCAGCAGCUGCUAGUGAUCGUGAUCAAGAAGAAGAGGAGGAAGAAGAAGGAGAAGAACAAUUUGUUCAAGAAGCCCAUUUGCCGAGCUUGAAGAACCCCUUAAGCAACAAAACUCUCAUGCCCCAGAAAUCAUCUUCUUUCUCCAACCUACUGGACGCCAUGGACUACUCUAUAUUGCGAAGUUUCCUGUCAGAUAACCAGUUCAAUAAUCCAACUGGGUUUGAUUCAACCCCAUCAUCAGUAGUCAAUGGUGCAAUAACAGAGCAACCUCUCUUCAACAACUGCAAUCCUCAUACCAAUAGCGGCAGCAGCAGCUACUUGAUUCAAAAGCUACCCCAGUUGAGUACUCCAAUACCAAACAUGGAAAACAAGCUUAAGCGCCCAUUUCCUAGCAUUGAUGAGGAUAUGAAUCAUUACCCAUCAAAGAAACUCAUCAAUUCUUGCAGUUUCACCAACAGCAACAGCCAAACUGAUAUGGCUUAUCAUCAAUACAAUGUCCUAAACCAGCCAUUAUUGAACCAGCAAUUACUUUUGAGCCCUCA